GACGAACGCUGGCGGCGUGCUUAACACAUGCAAGUCGAACGGAAAGGCCCUGCUUUUGUGGGGUGCUCGAGUGGCGAACGGGUGAGUAACACGUGAGUAACCUGCCCUUGACUUUGGGAUAACUUCAGGAAACUGGGGCUAAUACCGGAUAGGAGCUCCUGCUGCAUGGUGGGGGUUGGAAAGUUUCGGCGGUUGGGGAUGGACUCGCGGCUUAUCAGCUUGAUGGUGGGGUAGUGGCUUACCAAGGCUUUGACGGGUAGCCGGCCUGAGAGGGUGACCGGCCACAUUGGGACUGAGAUACGGCCCAGACUCCUACGGGAGGCAGCAGUGGGGAAUAUUGCACAAUGGGCGGAAGCCUGAUGCAGCAACGCCGCGUGCGGGAUGACGGCCUUCGGGUUGUAAACCGCUUUCGCCUGUGACGAAGCGUGAGUGACGGUAAUGGGUAAAGAAGCACCGACUAACUACGUG
RNAcentral lists this ribosomal RNA (468 nucleotides) under uncultured bacterium. Its description in RNAcentral is "partial 16S ribosomal RNA". It matches the Rfam family "Bacterial small subunit ribosomal RNA", at positions 28 to 507 of the family's 1533-position model. The record is from RNAcentral.